Molecule: ribosomal RNA, 497 nt
Filed under: uncultured bacterium
Lineage: Bacteria
Description: partial 16S ribosomal RNA
Rfam family: Bacterial small subunit ribosomal RNA
Source: RNAcentral
GAUGAACGCUGGCGGCGUGCCUAAUACAUGCAAGUCGAGCGAACGGACGAGAAGCUUGCUUCUCUGAUGUUAGCGGCGGACGGGUGAGUAACACGUGGAUAACCUACCUAUAAGACUGGGAUAACUUCGGGAAACCGGAGCUAAUACCGGAUGAUAUUUUGAACCGCAUGGUUCAAAAGUUAAAGACGGUCUUGCUGUCACUUAUAGAUGGAUCCGCGCUGCAUUAGCUAGUUGGUAAGGUAACGGCUUACCAAGGCAACGAUGAAUAGCCGACCUGAGAGGGUGAUCGGCCACACUGGAACUGAGACACGGUCCAGACUCCUACGGGAGGCAGCAGUAGGGAAUCUUCCGCAAUGGGCGAAAGCCUGACGGAGCAACGCCGCGUGAGUGAUGAAGGUCUUCGGAUCGUAAAACUCUGUUAUUAGGGAAGAACAUAUGUGUAAGUAACUGUGCACAUCUUGACGGUACCUAAUCAGAAAGCCACGGCUAACUACGUG